CAGCAGCCGCGGUAAUACGUAGGGUGCGAGCGUUAAUCGGAAUUACUGGGCGUAAAGCGUGCGCAGGCGGUUGUGUAAGACAGGUGUGAAAUCCCCGGGCUUAACCUGGGAACUGCAUUUGUGACUGUAGAGCUGGAGUGCGGCAGAGGGGGAUGGAAUUCCGCGUGUAGCAGUGAAAUGCGUAGAUAUGCGGAGGAACACCGAUGGCGAAGGCAAUCCCCUGGGCCUGCACUGACGCUCAUGCACGAAAGCGUGGGGAGCAAACAGGAUUAGAUACCCCUGUAGUCCCUGUCUCUUAUAC
This 301-nucleotide ribosomal RNA is filed under the name uncultured bacterium. RNAcentral's name for it is "partial 16S ribosomal RNA". It matches the Rfam family "Bacterial small subunit ribosomal RNA", at positions 509 to 807 of the family's 1533-position model. The record is from RNAcentral.